ACGCUAUCACUCCUACGGGAGGCAGCAGUGGGGAAUAUUGCACAAGUGGGGAAACCCUGAUGCAGCCAUGCCGCGUGUGUGAAGAAGGCCUUCGGGUUGUAAAGCACUUUCAGUAGGGAGGAAGGUAGUGUAGUUAACACCUGCACUAUUUGACGUUACCUACAGAAGAAGCACCGGCUAACUCCGUGCCAGCAGCCGCGGUAAUACGGAGGGUGCAAGCGUUAUCCGGAAUCAUUGGGUUUAAAGGGUCCGCAGGCGGUCAAUUAAGUCAGAGGUGAAAUCCUAUAGCUUAACUAUAGAACUGCCUUUGAUACUGGUUGACUUGAGUUAUACGGAAGUAGGUAGAAUGUGUAGUGUAGCGGUGAAAUGCAUAGAUAUUACACAGAAUACCGAUUGCGAAGGCAGCCUACUACGUAUAUACUGACGCUCAUGGACAGAAAGCGUGGGGAGCGAACAGGAUUAGAUACCCUGGUAG
This 475-nucleotide ribosomal RNA is filed under the name uncultured bacterium. RNAcentral's name for it is "bacterial SSU rRNA". It matches the Rfam family "Bacterial small subunit ribosomal RNA", at positions 326 to 793 of the family's 1533-position model. The record is from RNAcentral.